CUGUAAUGCCCUUAGAUAUUCUAGGCCGCACGCGCGCUACACUAAUAGAGCUAAUGAGUUCUUCACCUUAGCUAAAAGGUCUAGGUAAUCUUGUGAAACUCU
RNAcentral lists this ribosomal RNA (102 nucleotides) under Leptosphaeria sp. RNAcentral's name for it is "partial small subunit ribosomal RNA". It matches the Rfam family "Eukaryotic small subunit ribosomal RNA", at positions 1462 to 1563 of the family's 1831-position model. Lineage: Eukaryota; Fungi; Ascomycota; Dothideomycetes; Pleosporales; Leptosphaeriaceae. The record is from RNAcentral.